GAUGAACGCUGGCGGCGUGCCUAAUACAUGCAAGUCGAGCGAACAGACGAGGAGCUUGCUCCUCUGACGUUAGCGGCGGACGGGUGAGUAACACGUGGAUAACCUACCUAUAAGACUGGGAUAACUUCGGGAAACCGGAGCUAAUACCGGAUAAUAUAUUGAACCGCAUGGUUCAAUAGUGAAAGACGGUUUUGCUGUCACUUAUAGAUGGAUCCGCGCCGCAUUAGCUAGUUGGUAAGGUAACGGCUUACCAAGGCGACGAUGCGUAGCCGACCUGAGAGGGUGAUGGGCCACACUGGAACUGAAACACGGUCCAGACUCCUACGGGAGGCAGCAGUAGGGAAUCUUCCGCAAUGGGCGAAAGCCUGACGGAGCAACGCCGCGUGAGUGAUGAAGGUCUUCGGAUCGUAAAACUCUGUUAUUAGGGAAGAACAAAUGUGUAAGUAACUAUGCACGUCUUGACGGUACCUAAUCAGAAAGCCACGGCUAACUACGUG
RNAcentral lists this ribosomal RNA (497 nucleotides) under uncultured bacterium. RNAcentral's name for it is "partial 16S ribosomal RNA". It matches the Rfam family "Bacterial small subunit ribosomal RNA", at positions 28 to 507 of the family's 1533-position model. The record is from RNAcentral.